RNAcentral lists this transfer RNA (93 nucleotides) under Salmo salar (Atlantic salmon). It matches the Rfam family "tRNA". From Rfam's summary of the family: Transfer RNA (tRNA) molecules are approximately 80 nucleotides in length. Their secondary structure includes four short double-helical elements and three loops (D, anti-codon, and T loops). Further hydrogen bonds mediate the characteristic L-shaped molecular structure. tRNAs have two regions of fundamental functional importance: the anti-codon, which is responsible for specific mRNA codon recognition, and the 3' end, to which the tRNAs corresponding amino acid is attached (by aminoacyl-tRNA synthetases). tRNAs cope with the degeneracy of the genetic code in two manners: having more than one tRNA (with a specific anti-codon) for a particular amino acid; and 'wobble' base-pairing, i.e. permitting non-standard base-pairing at the 3rd anti-codon position. Lineage: Eukaryota; Metazoa; Chordata; Actinopteri; Salmoniformes; Salmonidae. The record is from Rfam by way of RNAcentral.
UUCCCUAUGGCUCAGUUGGUAGAGCAUGGUGUUUGCAACGCCAGCAUGGUGUGUGCAACACCAGGGUUGUGGGUUCGAUUCCCACGGGGGGGC